Molecule: non-coding RNA, 134 nt
Organism: Glycine soja
Lineage: Eukaryota; Viridiplantae; Streptophyta; Magnoliopsida; Fabales; Fabaceae
Source: Rfam
UUAUGAUUAGAUGAUGAUGAUCACGUGUCACGAUCACGUGUCACGUUCUGAUUGGACGUUGACAAUAACAAUGCAUUUUCAUCGUCCAUAGAGUCAACAUGCAAUCAGAACGUGACACAUGAUAGUCAUCGUCU